Molecule: ribosomal RNA, 403 nt
Filed under: uncultured bacterium
Lineage: Bacteria
Description: partial 16S ribosomal RNA
Rfam family: Bacterial small subunit ribosomal RNA
Source: RNAcentral
GACGAACGCUGGCGGCGUGCCUAAUACAUGCAAGUCGAACGCAGUGGGGACGGGUGAGUAACACGUGGGUAACCUCCCAUCAGAGGGGAUAACACUUGGAAACAGGUGCUAAACCGAUACUGAUGGAUGGAACAGCGGUGCAUUAGACAGUGGGUGGGGUAACGGCUCACCAAGGACACGAUGCAUAGCCGGCCUGAGAGGGUGAUCAGCCACACUGGGACUGAGACACGGCCCAGACUCCUACGGGAGGCAGCAGUGGGGAAUCUUCGGCAAUGGGCGAAAGUCUGACCCAGCAACGCCGCGUGAAUGAAGAAGGUUUUCGGAUCGUAAAACUCUGUUGUUAGAGAAGCGGUAUCUAACCAGAAAGCCACGGCUAACUACGUGCCAGCAGCCGCGGUAAUUC